ACCCUCUCAGGAUUGCACCUGGAGAGUUUCCAAUACUUUACCAGUCUCAGCUAAGGGAGGGAGAGUCAAGCAGAGGCCUACCCAAUCCAUUCCUGGCUCAGGUAGUGGCUAGCGAGUGGAAGGCCAUCUGCUAUAAGU
Molecule: non-coding RNA, 138 nt
Organism: Ornithorhynchus anatinus (platypus)
Lineage: Eukaryota; Metazoa; Chordata; Mammalia; Monotremata; Ornithorhynchidae
Source: Rfam